GAGAGAUGGCUCAGUGGUUAAGAGCACUGACUGCUCUUCCAGAGGUCCUGAGUUCAAUUCCCAGCAACUACA
Molecule: transfer RNA, 72 nt
Filed under: Mus musculus (house mouse)
Lineage: Eukaryota; Metazoa; Chordata; Mammalia; Rodentia; Muridae
Description: tRNA-Ser
Source: RNAcentral